UUACGAGGUCAGGACACUGUGAGGAUUGACAGAUUGAAAGCUCUUUCUUGAUUCAGUGGGUGGUGGUGCAUGGCCGUUCUUAGUUGGUGGAGUGAUUUGUCUGGUUAACUCCGUUAACGAACGAGACCUUAACCUGCUAAAUAGUCACGCGAACCGGUCCGCAAGGGCUCAAAGUUCGCGGCUCGACUUCUUAGAGGGACUAUUCGCACCCGCCAGCGAAUGGAAGUUUGAGGCAAUAACAGGUCUGUGAUGCCCUUAGAUGUUCUCGGCCGCACGCGCGUUACACUGACGGAGUCAACGAGCGUUUUUCCUUGCCCGAUAGGGUUGGGUAACCUCCUGAAACUCCGUCGUGAUGGGGAUAGAUCAUUGCAAUUAUUGAUCUUGAACGAGGAAUUCCUAGUAGGCGCGAGUCAUCAACUCGCGCCGAUUACGUCCCUGCCCUUUGUACACACCGCCCGUCGCUCCUACCGAUUGAACGGUCGCGGCGAGAACUCCGGAUGGUC
RNAcentral lists this ribosomal RNA (503 nucleotides) under Vermamoeba vermiformis. Its description in RNAcentral is "SSU rRNA". It matches the Rfam family "Eukaryotic small subunit ribosomal RNA", at positions 1215 to 1719 of the family's 1831-position model. Lineage: Eukaryota; Tubulinea; Echinamoebida; Vermamoebidae. The record is from RNAcentral.